UAAUGGAUUCGCAUUUCAGGUGCAGGAAACUGCUUAAUCGGGAACAGAGUGAAUUUCUCUGACUGCCCCAGCAACCGUGAAGCGGACAAACUUCCAACAGCCACUGUAUAUCGAUAUGGGAAGGCGGAAGGGCGGAUGAAGCGAAGUCGGUAGACCGGCCUGAAUGAAAGAAGUCUU
This 177-nucleotide non-coding RNA is filed under the name Holdemania filiformis. Lineage: Bacteria; Bacillati; Bacillota; Erysipelotrichia; Erysipelotrichales; Erysipelotrichaceae. The record is from RNAcentral.